CAGAACUCGCACAUGCAGCACAGCUGGCUGAUGGGGCAGUACAGAACUGUAAAGAAAAACAUGUCAAAUCAGACCAUGAACUGCAUGUUCUUUGCCGUGUGACAGAAAAGUUCAACAUGAGUGGCGUGUGGCGUAGGCUGGAGUCACUUUGGACGCUGGGUCAGGUUGGAACCUCAAGGGCUGAACAGAAGCGCUUUACAGCCACGAAGUGGAGUGCAGCAGCCUGC
Scomber scombrus (Atlantic mackerel) is the source of this 227-nucleotide long non-coding RNA. RefSeq lists it as uncharacterized. The transcript has 3 exons. NCBI's taxonomy places the organism in Eukaryota, Metazoa, Chordata, Actinopteri, Scombriformes, Scombridae. The record is from RefSeq and is a predicted model, not a curated record.